AACGAACGCUGGCGGCAUGCCUAACACAUGCAAGUCGAACGAGACCUUCGGGUCUAGUGGCGCACGGGUGCGUAACGCGUGGGAACCUGCCCUUAGGUUCGGAAUAACUCCCCGAAAGGGGUGCUAAUACCGGAUAAUGUCUUCGGACCAAAGAUUUAUCGCCUUUGGAUGGGCCCGCGUUGGAUUAGCUAGUUGGUAGGGUAAAAGCCUACCAAGGCGACGAUCCAUAGCUGGUCUGAGAGGAUGAUCAGCCACACUGGUACUGAGACACGGCCCAGACUCCUACGGGAGGCAGCAGUGGGGAAUAUUGGACAAUGGGCGAAAGCCUGAACCAGCAAUGACGCGUGAGUGAUGAAGGCCUUAGGGUUGUAAAGCUCUUUUACCCGGGAUGAUAAUGACAGUACCGGGAGAAUAAGCUCCGGCUAACUCCGUG
Molecule: ribosomal RNA, 433 nt
Filed under: uncultured bacterium
Lineage: Bacteria
Description: partial 16S ribosomal RNA
Rfam family: Bacterial small subunit ribosomal RNA
Source: RNAcentral